RNAcentral lists this microRNA precursor (78 nucleotides) under Trichobilharzia regenti. RNAcentral's name for it is "mir-3492 microRNA precursor family". It matches the Rfam family "mir-3492 microRNA precursor family". Lineage: Eukaryota; Metazoa; Platyhelminthes; Trematoda; Strigeidida; Schistosomatidae. The record is from Rfam by way of RNAcentral.
AGCCCUCUGUAUCCGUGCUGAGAUUUCGUCGGAGAUCAACCUGUUGGGGUUGAUGCAACUUCCCAAAUAAGUGAAGCG